Molecule: ribosomal RNA, 101 nt
Filed under: uncultured bacterium
Lineage: Bacteria
Description: partial 16S ribosomal RNA
Source: RNAcentral
CUUUCGGGUUGUAAACCCUUUCAGUUGGGACGAAGCUUCUCCGGUGAAUAGCCGGACGGAGUGACGGUACCUUACACAAGAAGCACCGGCUAACUAUGUGC